Molecule: non-coding RNA, 109 nt
Organism: Acanthosepion pharaonis
Lineage: Eukaryota; Metazoa; Mollusca; Cephalopoda; Sepiida; Sepiidae
Source: the annotation of a GenBank genome assembly
GGUAUAUCACGUUGAAACACCAGUACCCAUACGAUCAGCGAAGUUAAGCAACGUCGAGUCUUGUUAAUACCAAGAUAGGUGACAACUUGAGAAUAACAGAUGCUGCAAG